This is a long non-coding RNA of Folsomia candida, 939 nucleotides long. RefSeq lists it as uncharacterized. Lineage: Eukaryota; Metazoa; Arthropoda; Collembola; Entomobryomorpha; Isotomidae. The transcript is spliced from 2 exons. The record is from RefSeq and is a predicted model, not a curated record.
GACGGACGGACGGACAUGACGGUUCCAUAAGCCCUGACUCGGGCUAAAAAGCUGUGGAAAUUAUUAUUUUCGACUUCCAUGUAUGUCAUGGUCAAAGUAUUUUCUUGCAAAAACAAUCGCCAUGACUUUGAUGGUAUUGGUCCUGCAAUGCAAAUUUUUGCGACCAUGACUAACAUGGUUUUGGUCUUUCGAUGUGUAAAAAAUAUGACAUGAACACCAUGGUUUAGGAAACUUGGUGUAAAAUUUUUCUCCAUGACAUUCAUGGUCAAAGUUCAUUCCCCAUUUUCGACUAUAAAAUGUAAAUGCUUAAAAGGUUAAAUACAUUCCGAUAUUAAUUUCAGUCUGAAAUGGGGAAAAAUAAAAUUCUGCUAACAAUUUCCAUCUUUGUGUUGGUGGAAAUCCAUCGGGAAGUAUUAGGGGUCGGAAGUUGCGCAUGGUCUGGAUGCGGCUUUCAUGCAAAAUGCGCGACUGAACUAACUGGUGGAUCUGGUCGGACAAUGUUUGUGGCGCGGGAUUCGUGUGGACCGCUCGGACUUCAGCACUCGGAUUUAUGUUGUACGCCAACUUGCGAAUGGUCACCUUGCGGACAGAAAUGCGAUCAGUGGGUAAAACCAGAUAGACAAACGUUUCAUGGAGUGGAACAUCCCGACGGGGAAAAAUACUGUGAGUUAUCUUUGAAUAGGCCGGGAGUCGGGCCAAUUACAUUGCCGAACAAAAGAUGGUUUUGCUGUCCGAAUUAAAGAUUAUUCACUCUUCUUGGAAUUAUGUAAACAAAACGUAGUUGUUUCUCUUAUGUAAUCGGAGAAUGAGCAUACAAGCGUCAUUACGUUGAUGUAUCAAUUUUUGUUUGCCCAUUUGUCAAAAUUUUUAAACGUAGUCAGUUAAUGCGAAUAAAUAUUGAUUCAUGCAUCCCUUAAGAAUUUGGGGAAAUCCUUUAAA